This 647-nucleotide long non-coding RNA is filed under the name Citrus x clementina. RNAcentral's name for it is "Citrus clementina (C. clementina) long non-coding RNA (CCLE_LNC003397)". The record is from RNAcentral. Lineage: Eukaryota; Viridiplantae; Streptophyta; Magnoliopsida; Sapindales; Rutaceae.
UCAUCAUGUGCUCUGCACUAUUAGCAAAACGACAUCAAGUGAGAUAUCAUUAUGUGCUCUGCAUUAUCAGCAAAACGACAUCAAGUGGUGGGAAUUUGCCAAUAAACAAACAAAUAUUCUAUGUUUACAACUUGUCCGUGCUGACAUCUCUAUUAAGGAUUUGGUUAUGUUGGAGUUGUUCUAAGAUAAAAUAUUUUGUAUAAUCAUAUAAUUAAAAUUAUAAUAAAUUUAUUAUUAUUUAUCACUUUAUAUGUGUAGAAAAUUUAUGCUACAUCGUAGAUCUGCUCCAACAUAACCAUAGCCCUCUCUCAAUUAUGAAGUAAUAGUUGAAACAAACAGUAUCAUUUAACUUUCGCCAUUUUGGCAAGCUGCAUUGCAGAGGAUAAUUGGUAGGCCCGUAUUGAUUGAAAUCUGUCUAAUAUUUGACAAUACAAAUAGCGCGCAUUACAUCUGAAAACUUAGUGCUGCAUAUGCCGCAUUAUGGAACCCAUCACGCCCCUCAGAGUUAUGCCAUAUGGUAUUAAUUUUUAAACAUAAAACUUAUUUAAUUUAGGAAAAAUAAUAUUUACACACUCAAAAUUCAGAAAAACAGUCAUAUAGAUCUUCAUAUUUUCAAUAAAGAAUAUCAAGAUCCUUUUUUUUCUUAU